AUUCUGUGUCUGUAUUUUGCUAUAUUACAUAUGUAACCGGGGCAUAAUAUUCUCCAUUCAUACCUACCCGCCACUAGGGGUCACUCGUGUUUACGUGAUGCAUAGUAGAGUGCACACAGAGGAAGAGUGUACUACAGGUGUGGGUUGUGCUUGUUCAUAGCUGUCUGCAGCUGAGCACAUGAGCAGUUGUGCAUAAGAUUAAAAGCAAACAUCAGCCUUUCUUAAGGAAGGGGGGAAAGUCCUGCUUGUGUUUUGCUUACCACCUUGUGCAUCAUGUAUUUGGUGUCUGUCUGCAAGAUAUUUCCGGGUGGAUAUAUACAUAUCUAAUGUGGCGGAGAUUGAGCGGGGGAGAACAGAUACACGUGUGUCAGCGCCUCGUUUCAUGUUACAGCGUGUCACAGAAAAUAGCAUCCAAAAGCCACUACCGUUGUUUUAUAGGGGUAUAUUUCAUACAGGGCUAUUUUUGUGUGUUUUCAUUUAUUUUCUCUGUUGAUUUGGGAUCUUUAUAAUCUUGAGAAGGAAUGUGAUUUAAGGAGAAAUGUGUAUUAACCCUUUCUAAUCAGCCGAAUUUCACCCAAAGGGAGUGUUCAAUAGUUGGGCUACUGUUUUAUUUGUUUUAUUUAUUUUUCUUUAAACUGAAUAGGCCAUUGUAACAAAAUAUUUACAGUGUAUUUGGAGCUUGUGUUAAUUUGAUCUCUUUUUAUAUUUCUUGUAAACUUGGUUUAUUAUAAUAUACUACGCAGGGGGAAAUUUCACAGUCAUUUAAUGCUGUGUUUUCUCUUAACUCAGUCGGAAAUAAAGAACCCCUGUUAGAUGUAUGGCUGUGCUGG
Molecule: long non-coding RNA, 830 nt
Organism: Cyprinus carpio (common carp)
Lineage: Eukaryota; Metazoa; Chordata; Actinopteri; Cypriniformes; Cyprinidae
Source: Ensembl